UACGGAGGAUGCGAGCGUUAUCCGGAUUUAUUGGGUUUAAAGGGUGCGUAGGCGGGCUGUUAAGUCAGCGGUCAAAUGUCGGGGCUCAACCCCGGCCUGCCGUUGAAACUGGCGGCCUCGAGUGGGCGAGAAGUAUGCGGAAUGCGUGGUGUAGCGGUGAAAUGCAUAGAUAUCACACAGAACACCGAUUGCGAAGGCAUCUCACGAAUCCGCUAUUGACGCUGAUGCACGAAAGCGUGGGUAUCAAACAGG
This 252-nucleotide ribosomal RNA is filed under the name uncultured Bacteroidales bacterium. RNAcentral's name for it is "partial 16S ribosomal RNA". It matches the Rfam family "Bacterial small subunit ribosomal RNA", at positions 524 to 776 of the family's 1533-position model. Lineage: Bacteria; Pseudomonadati; Bacteroidota; Bacteroidia; Bacteroidales. The record is from RNAcentral.